Molecule: ribosomal RNA, 1335 nt
Filed under: uncultured bacterium
Lineage: Bacteria
Description: bacterial SSU rRNA
Rfam family: Bacterial small subunit ribosomal RNA
Source: RNAcentral
AUGAACGUUGGCGGCGUGGAUUAGGCAUGCAAGUCGAACGCUUCCCAUGUAGCAAUACAUGGGAGGAGUGGCGUAAGGGAGAGUAAUCCAUGGUUAGCUACCCUCGGGUCUGGGAUAGCGGCGGGAAACUGCCGGUAAUACCAGAUGACAUCUUCGGAUCAAAGGUGUGAUUCCGCCCGGGGAGGCGACCGUGUCCUAUCAGCUAGUUGGCGGUGUAAUAGACCACCAAGGCUAAGACGGGUAUGGGGCGUGAGAGCGUGCCCCCACUCACUGGGACUGAGACACUGCCCAGACACCUACGGGUGGCUGCAGUCGAGAAUCUUCGGCAAUGGGCGCAAGCCUGACCGAGCGACGCCGCGUGCGGGAUGACGGCCUUCGGGUUGUAAACCGCUUUCAGUUCCGACGAAGCGCAAGUGACGGUAGGAACAGAAGAAGGACCGGCCAACUACGUGCCAGCAGCCGCGGUGAUACGUAGGGUCCGAGCGUUGUCCGGAAUUAUUGGGCGUAAAGGGCUUGUAGGCGGUUUGUCACGUCGGAAGUGAAAACUCAGGGCUUAACCCUGAGCCGGCUUCCGAUACGGGCAAACUAGAGGAAUGCAGGGGAGAAUGGAAUUCCUGGUGGAGCGGUGGAAUGCGCAGAUAUCAGGAGGAACACCGGUGGCGAAGGCGGUUCUCUGGGCAUUUCCUGACGCUGAGAAGCGAAAGCGUGGGGAGCAAACAGGCUUAGAUACCCUGGUAGUCCACGCCGUAAACGGUGGGCACUAGGUGUGGGGAACAUUCCACGUUCUCCGUGCCGAAGCUAACGCAUUAAGUGCCCCGCCUGGGGAGUACGGCCGCAAGGCUAAAGCUCAAAGGAAUUGACGGGGGCCCGCACAAGCGGCGGAGCAUGCGGAUUAAUUCGAUGCAACGCGAAGAACCUUACCUGGGUUUGACAUAUACCGGAAAGCUGCAGAGAUGUAGCCCCCGCAAGGUCGGUAUACAGGUGGUGCAUGGCUGUCGUCAGCUCGUGUCGUGAGAUGUUGGGUUAAGUCCCGCAACGAGCGCAACCCUCGUCCUAUGUUGCCAGCGGAUAAUGCCGGGGACUCAUAGGAGACUGCCGGGGUCAACUCGGAGGAAGGUGGGGAUGACGUCAAGUCAUCAUGCCCCUUAAGUCCAGGGCUUCACGCAUGCUACAAUGGCUGGUACAAAGGGCUGCGACACCGCACGGUCGAGCGAAUCCCAAAAAGCCAGUCUCAGUUCGGAUUGGGGUCUGCAACUCGACCCCAUGAAGUCGGAGUCGCUAGUAAUCGCAGAUCAGCAACGCUGCGGUGAUACCUUCCCGGGCGUGUACACACCG